Molecule: ribosomal RNA, 253 nt
Filed under: uncultured bacterium
Lineage: Bacteria
Description: partial 16S ribosomal RNA
Rfam family: Bacterial small subunit ribosomal RNA
Source: RNAcentral
UACGUAGGUGGCAAGCGUUGUCCGGAAUUAUUGGGCGUAAAGCGCGCGCAGGCGGUCCUUUAAGUCUGAUGUGAAAGCCCACGGCUCAACCGUGGAGGGUCAUUGGAAACUGGGGGACUUGAGUGCAGGAGAGAAGAGUGGAAUUCCACGUGUAGCAGUGAAAUGCGUAGAGAUGCGGAGGAACACCGAUGGCGAAGGCAGCCCCCUGGGCUAGCACUGACGCUCAGGCACGAAAGCGUGGGGAGCAAACAGG